AUAAUGUAAUGGACUUCAAUUUUUUUUAGUAGCAUUAAGCCCAUUAUUUUUUUUCCUAACUUACUGCUAUCCAUGUUUUCAAACAGUACUAUUUUUUUUAACUACUAUCCAUAUUUCCAAACAAUCUCAAUGUGUACUUCAACUUUAAUAAUAUAGAUAGAAUGAGAUUUAGAACGUGUUACAAGAUAGAAUCGAAAUUUAAAAAAUCCAACCCGGACCCGAACACACAUGCCUAUAAUACACACCUCCAAUUUAUUUAAAUUACAGAUUAUUCAUGGCGAAUACAUAUUUUGUAAUAUAUCUGCUUAACUUCAAUUUUGUUUUUUAUUAAUAAAUAAUUUAUUAUUUAAAUCACAUUUUAGAUACAAAUAAUAUAGUGUAGAAUUAAGAAGUUUUUUUUUUAAAUUUCAAUAUUGGAUGAGAGAUUCAUCAAUGGAGAAGAAAAGAGAAAGAAAAAUAUAUAACUGAUUAAGAAAAUGAUAAUUGCUGAUGAAGAAGAUGCAGAUUAAAGAAGAGAAGCGAAAUAAAUAAAUAAAAUUUGAGAUAAAAAAUUUGGAAAAAUUGAACCAUCAAUGGUUUUGAAAAGGAGAAGAACAAAAGAAUUAAGGAUUGGGAAAAGAUCCGACCCAGAUAACAAAUUUUUAAAUGGUUAGGUUGAUAAUUUAUCAACUUUUACAAGGGUAAGGUCAUUUGACUCAAUUCCCUACUUUUUAUUUUUUUAAAUGUAAAUUAAUUAGAAAAAGAAAAAGUCUAUUUUAGAACUUUUCAUUCUAUGUAGCCCAUUUGAAUAUUUGAGCUUUCUUUUGUGAAGAAUCUGGCUGCUCCGCUACUUCAUGCUUCGUCUUCAUCAUUUGCAAACAGAGUUUUUAUUUAUUAAUCAUACAUUGUAUUUUGUUCAGAAUAUUUUUUACUCAUAUUUCUCUUUCCACGGACUCACCAUUCCCAACUUUUUUCUUUCAUUUUUACAAGUUUUGACAUUUUUGCCAUUGGAGAAAUUUUUUUGUUAAACCCACUUUUGUUAAAACCCAUAAAGCUUUUUUUAAGAUCUUAAACCAUUUCCAAUGGAGGUUCUUCAAUCAGAACUCUUCUAUUAAAAUUAAAGAAAUAAAAAAAAAAUUAUGAGAGAGAGUGAAAAAAACUCUAAAAACUCUUGUUUUAGAAAUACUUCUAAACUUUUUUCAUCCACAUAUCAUGCAAUUAAUAUUUUAAUGGUUUAAAAAAUAUAUAAAAUUUAAUUACACAAUUAAAAUGAUUUCUAAUGGUUGAAAAUGGUCUUAAAACCCAUAAAGCUAAGUUUGGUAAAACCUAACAAAAUCCCGGCAAACAAAAGAUAAGAUUGAACAAUAAUCUAGAGUGUGACACAUUAUUGACACGUGUUAAAAAGAGACUGAGCUUUCUGAAAAUCACUGUUUCAGUUAUCUGGGUGACUUCAAUAAGCUUGUAAACUUUAAAAUCGAAAAGUUUUAGUUUUUCGGAUGAAAUAAAAGGGAAAGUAAAAGAAAACUGAUUUGUAAAGAUAAACUUUUUAAAUAAAAAAGAUGUCUUUGAAUGCUUCAGAAGAACACAUAAAUAUUAGAGUAAUUGCACUCUAUAUACAUCAAUAAUAAUUUAAUUUGCAAGAAUGGAAUUUCUACUAUACAUUUUUUUUAUAAUGACACUGGUACCCCUAUUCCUCAUCGACCAAACCUACUAGUCCAUUUGUAUUUUCAUUCGUAUUUUCAUUUGUAUGAUUGUAUCUAAACGAAACCUAUUGCUUUCCCACUUUCUCUUUUUUUUUUUUCAUUUCUGAAACAUUUGUUCUCUCAAGAAUCUCGCCUAUUUCAAGGUUAACCCUACGCCACGAUCGUCUCUCUCGUUCUCCCCUCCUCCCUACUCUCGCAUCCCUUCUCACUCCUUGUCCUCCUCUCUCUCCUUGUCCAAGUUGUUCGUUUAAGGAAAGGACAUCAAAAUCAAAACUCUGUUCUUUUCUGAUCUGCUCUUUGGUUUGAUCAGCUUGAUCCUUUAGUGGGCAUACGUGGAUAUCUUGUAGUGUAGAGAAGUUCUUAUUUUUUGAGUUGAAUAAAUUUAUGUAAUUACGAAAUUAGUGAAAAUAUUUUCAUAAAUUUUUUGAAAAUUAAGGUAUUAUUAAAAUAUCAUUGGUUGCUCUCCUUCAAUUCAGCUUCUCACUUCCUUAGCGAUUUGAUAUAUCAUUAGUUGCUCUCCUUCAUUAAGUGGCGCAAUUCGAGUUAAUAAUCCUUGGGACGUUGAUGCGGUAGCUGAUUCAAUGUACUCUGCUAUCACCAUGGCUGAUUUUGAGAAGCAACUAGGCCAUAAAAAGCACCAUCACUACAUUAGUUAGUACACAUGAUGGAGUUUAGGUUUUAGACUCAUUGCUCUCUCUCCUAAUUUCCGAAGGCUGUCAGUGCUUACAGGAAAUCGAGCAAUCGAGCAAUCUUUCUGGAUUAUGAUGGUACUUUUGUUCCUGAGACCUCCAUCGUAAAGGACCCAAGUGCUGAAGUUAUGUCUGCGUUGAAGACACUGUGUACUGAUCCUAAUAACACUAUAUUUACUGUUAGCGGGAGGGGUAAGGUCACCAGAUUGUUGAAGUUAGGCCUCAGGGAGUAAGCAAAGCUCUUGUCACCAGGAAAUGCUCGAAGAAGGAAAUGGACCAGAUUUUGUGGCAUGCAUCGGGGAUGAUAGGUUAGACUAGGAGAUGUUUGAGAGCAUAACAACAAACACUCUCGGCUCAAUCCUCGUCAAUGUGUACAGAGAUAUUUUUGUGCAUGGUGAGAAGAAAACCGAGAAAAGCUUAGUACCCUUCUCACCUUAGAGUCCCUUCUAAAGCGUGGUAUGAGUAGUCAUGAAAGGAAACAUGAUUUGUACAUAGAAAACAUGAAAAUUGAGGCUUAUUUAGUCAGGUGUUGGUACAUGUAUAUAAUUAUUUAAGACUUGUGAGCUAGAGACUAGCUCUUUCCCUAUUGUGUUUUGUACAUUGGCUUGUGCUAUAAUCUACAUGUGUUUCUUUAUUUGAAGAGUACCAACACAUUCACAAAGCAAAAUGCUAUGGAAAGCCUAGUGUAGUCUGAGCUUCUUAUGUUUCUCUAAUAGCUUGUUCAUGUUUGAAUUAUGAGAAGUAGAUCUCCUGAACGAUUCAUAUAUGCCCAUUUAAUCAUCUGUGAAUAGCGAUAGACUAAUUAACCUCAUGCUCAAGUCACAUGCACUGCCUCAAAUUCACGAAUAGGAAAACCAUCUUGAGAUAAUAAAAAAAUAAAAGAAGGAGCUCAGUUACAGGGCUAGUAUAUCAUCCAAGUAAUCAGAAAUCUGUGAAGGGACCAACCAUCACUAAAGCCUCAAAUCAUCAUCACCCCAUCUGUUUGCACAAUAUGGGUAUCGAACCAAGGUCGGUGCCGUGGUGGGGUACUAUUCUACCACUAGACCAAUGGUGCUGUGUUUCACAACAACUUCAUUUUCAAUUUUAAUAACGAAAGUUUGCAGUAAUUUGGACAGGUGAUAGAGCCUAUUGUACAAGUAUGGAAAACGCUUUUUCAUACCUGAACAAGUCGUAUAAGUUCUAUUUCUACCUAGACUUCUCAGCUAGUUCAACGCAUACAUAAACUAUCAAAUUGCGUUUUAACAUACCUGAUUUCGUUUUUGUUUUUUGAAAAUCAACUUUGACCAUAAUUCCGUGAGUCGAUUGUUAACUGUUGACAUUUCUCAAUAGUUGGGGUAUAAAUAGAAAUUAUACGAAUUGUUCAGGUAUGAAAAAGUUGUUUUCCGUACAACUACAAGUUGGUAAAAGUAUGCUUUGGCCGAGUCUUUCUACUUUUCUGUUCAGCUAUAUAUUUAUGUUUUUAAUCAUCUAAAAUUGUAUUAAUGGAUUACUCAAUGGUUAUCAUUAAAUGGUUAUCAUUAAAUGAUAAAUACACAAUCACAUACUAAAUAGAUACAAACAAUUGUAAAACUACGACAAUUUACAAUGACUAGUGGCUGGCCUCUGCGCAAGCUUGGAGAUUUUGGUUUAAUUUGAAAUAGACCUAAGUCAACUGAUAACAUUGCCAUGUGUAUAAGAAAAUGUUCAUUUUCCAUCAAAUAGUUUAAUAUCUUCAAUUACAAUGCUUAGUUUUUAAGUGUUUGUUUUUAAACUUUGAUUAUGGCUUCUUGUAGGAAAUAAGAGAGUUUAUAAAGAAAAAAAAAACAAAAAAGUUUAUAAAGCUUGAUGAGGUCGGCUAUCACAAUACUAAAAGCAGCAUUUCCUCAAAAUCUAUACUGCCACGUCAUCAAAAAUAAUUGGCCAAUCACAACAUUUUAUUUUUGUUUUGGGUCUCAAUUGUCUGGGCUUGGGUGUGUGGAUUUAUUAAACCAUAUUCUGUGUUUUCAUUUCAGGCCUAUCUCUAAAUAUAAUGCAUUGAGACCCGAAAUCGCAUGUCGUCAUCUAAGUCGUAUCUUCAUCUUACGGCCGCCGCUUUUUCCGAGAUGAAAGUCGAUGAUAACGCCAUGGACGUUACAACGUUUCAUCUUGCUCUUCUUUACUUCCUGUUAAUUCGUGAUUUCUCCACUCCUCAGCAUUCAAUCCGACUCCUUCUCUUCCCGUACCUACUCACUAGAGCUUCGGGUAUAAAUACUUCCUCAUCCAGACAUGAGCAUCACAGCUUCGACGAGAACCAGAAGAUCUCUCUGUUCAAUUUCUGGUUAUUACAAUGGUGAAUUCCCAAGUCUUUCUUGCUGAUUUGAAAGCAGGACGCUGCUCCAACGUUGCGGAGGUCCAGAGGGAAGCAAGAAAUGUGAGGAAAGGAGGUGAAUUGACGAGUGUUGACAUGCUCUUUGUCGAUGAGAAUUUCAAGGAAAGGUUUGCUUGUGUCCUACCCGCAUUCAGCUUUUACCAACGUAAUGCGGUGAACAAGGUUAGAUUUCAAGUGUGAUUAGUUUGUAUUGAUCUUUUCCUCAUUUAAAAUGAACUCCGUGACUGUAUUAAAAAGCAGAAAGAAGCAGCUUUAUAAAGGUUUUUAGUACGUAUACUAAAAUAAGUGUGGAUAGGAGAAAUAAGAUUGGAGAAUUUUAGUUGAUUUUCAGACUUAAUUUUGUUUGGAUGUUGCUUUUAAAUGACCAAACCAGAGACUUAAGACAUGUAUGUGUGCCAUCAUGAUGCUCUGAUUGUGCUAUGACCCAAAAGUUUUCAGUUUUUUUUGUUAGUUAAACACGUGAAAGCUAAAAUGUUCAUAAGUUCGAUUUAGAGUUGUAAACAAAAUUCAAAGUUAUAAUAUUCCAUAUAGUUGUAUAGGCUAUUGACUUUUAAAUAUUCCAUCGGUUACAGCAUUGAAGACGUUCACCCAAACGGUGGAAUCAAGAAAUUCAAAUCUUCUGUCUACUCCAACGUAAGCUUCGUCCAAUCAUUUUACUCUUUCUUCUAAUCAUUUUACUCUCAAGUCAAUCAUGACAAUAUCGAGUUGUAGCGUGCACUGAGUCUCCUAAUAUACUUAUAUCUCUCUUAUACUUUUCAGUUUAUAUUUUCCUUUCGUCUAAAUCAAAACUGGUUCCCCAAUCCAAUCGUUCUCAAGUCAUGUCGCUCAUACAACAAGGUGAGAUGGCUUUGUCUGCAAAUCGGUUUCAAAGGUUACGAGAAGUAGCUCGAGGUCAUCUUUCAAGACUCCAAGGGAUUUGGUCUCUGUGCUCUGAUCAAGUCGCAGUUGGACAAAAAACUCACUCUUGCUGCAUGUGUGAUCGUGCUCUGAGUCCAGUUUCUUUGUCUACCCCCACAAAGUCAUCAUCAAGACUUCUUCAUCUUCACAUCUGAGUGAGAGCGGGAGCAAGGCUGCAGACCCAGACCCAGUUGGGACAUCACCAGAGCCUACAACUAAGAAGCCAAUGAGGUGUACCAAUCUUGAGUAGACGUUAUAGUGGCUCUCAAUUAUCGUUCAGCCCAGCUGUCAUCUAUCAUAUUUUCAUAGUUUAUGCUUUCAGUUUAAUAAUUGUAAGGCUUAUUAGGUCUCUGUCUAUGCAAAUAUUUGGGCUUUGAUAUUUUAAAAUUAAACACUUAUACACCUAAGUGAGUCAAUAACAUAAUAUUUCCCAGCUUCUUA
Molecule: long non-coding RNA, 6056 nt
Organism: Brassica rapa (field mustard)
Lineage: Eukaryota; Viridiplantae; Streptophyta; Magnoliopsida; Brassicales; Brassicaceae
Source: RefSeq, a predicted model, not a curated record